UACAGGGGGGGCAAGCGUUGUUCGGAAUUACUGGGCGUAAAGGGUUCGUAGGUGGCCAACUAAGUCAGACGUGAAAUCCCUCAGCUUAACUGGGGAACUGCGUCUGAAACUGGUUGGCUUGAGUGCAGGAGAGGAAUGCGGAAUUCCAGGUGUAGCGGUGAAAUGCGUAGAUAUCUGGAGGAACACCGGUGGCGAAGGCGGCAUUCUGGACUGUAACUGACGCUGAGGCACGAAAGUGUGGGGAUCAAACAGG
This 253-nucleotide ribosomal RNA is filed under the name uncultured bacterium. Its description in RNAcentral is "partial 16S ribosomal RNA". It matches the Rfam family "Bacterial small subunit ribosomal RNA", at positions 524 to 776 of the family's 1533-position model. The record is from RNAcentral.